Molecule: RNA transcript, 5890 nt
Organism: Dreissena polymorpha
Lineage: Eukaryota; Metazoa; Mollusca; Bivalvia; Myida; Dreissenidae
Exons: 5
Source: RefSeq, a predicted model, not a curated record
AUUGUUACUUUGUUUACUUAAGUUUAAACCUUCAAACAAACAGGAGUUUUAUAUUUGUUUCAUACUGGUAAUGUUAUGCAUAACUUGUUACGGGCUUUGGACAAUUGGAUGGGCGAGAUUUGUUGAGCUGUUUAAUUUAGCUGACAAUCAUAAGGAGGCACUAACAUAUUUAAGUUGAAUCAAAGGUAAAGGGAUCCUUAGCUGCCGUGUUUGUGAAAAUUAAUUUAGUAAAAUGGCAACCUUUUCACAAUCCUCCUUAGACAAGGGAUCUGACAUUACAAAAAGCUUUUCACAAUCCACCAUUGACAAGGGAUCUGACAUGAUCCAAGACUUCUUGUGCUCGACCUGCGAAGAAAAAAAACUGGAUAAAAUGGCUGAUUUCUACUGUGAAUCUUGUGUGAAGUUUUAUUGUGGAGAAUGUGUUAACAUGCACAACAAGUUGUUUACAAAACAUACCCCCUAUGGAAGAGGAGCUAUGAAGAAAUGGCCAGUGGCCAAGAAGGUUGAAGAUUUUCUUCUAAAAUGUGAUAUUCAUAAAGAAGAAAGCCUGAAAAUGUAUUGUGAUGAUCACAGUGAGCUGUGCUGCACAAAUUGUGCAUUCCUUAAACACAGACUCUGCCAAAAGGUUGUUCUUAUAUCCGACAAAGUGAAAGGUCAGUCCACAGACCUUCAAAAACUGUCAGUUUCUAUCAAAACUAUUCUGGAAGAAAUAAAAAAACUUCAAGACAACCAAGAGGCUAGCAUUCAAUAUGUUCAAAGUUCAUAUGAUGAGCAGUUACACACGAUACAGAAAACUCGCCUAAAUAUAAAUUCAGCCUUAGACACAAUCGAACAGAAGACACGGAAGGAAAUGAAAGAUACUCUGACCAAACUACAAGCCUCUUCCAAAAGUGAUGUUGACAAAUGUAUCAGGCUUCGGGAUGAAUUACAACAACUUCGUGACGCCAUGCAGGAUAUCAGUGAUAAAAGCAAACUGGAACUAUCCUUUAUAGCCAUCAGGAAAUGCAAGGAUAAAAUACAGCAGUCUGAAGCCUUUCUGAAGGAGAAUUCUCUUCAGGCUAAAGUUUCAAUAACAUUUCUGCCUAACCAUGAAAUUGUACAGUACUUGUCUAAACUGUCUGGUUUUGGACAGAUUGAACACAGUACUCAGACAUUGAUGGGACAAGAGGAUCCAAACAAGGUAAUCACUGUGCAGGGGAAGUCUGAACACAAUGUGAAAAUAUCAAGCGAUUCACAAAAAUGCAUUAUCAAAGCCAUCUGUGUUCUACCAGACAGAAAGGUUCUAGUUGUAGACAAUAAUAAUGCGAAUGUCAAGCUUCUUGACCAGCAGUACCAGGUGGUGAGUCACUGGAGUGCUACUGGCAGGCCAGUGGGUAUGUGUGAGAUCACACCCAGUGAGGUGGCUGUGACUCUUAAUGGUCCAGAUACAAACAUACAUGAGGUCCAGUUCAUCAUAGUAAACAACAGGCAGCUGGUGAUGGGAAAAAAGCUUCAGUUACAACAUACAUGUUAUGGUCUUGUCUUCCACCAAGGAGACCUGUAUAUUACUUCUGGGACUGCACUGUACAAGUAUACACUCAGUGGGAAAUUUGUCAGCAAGAUGUAUGAGGAACCAUCAGGUUAUGCGACAAUAUACAGUUGUGCUGUGAGUCCCACAGGGGACAAGUUGUACAUCAUCUCCAAGGACAAGCUUCUUACCCUGGCCAGGGAUGGGUCAGUCCUGUUUACCUUUACUGACCCAGCACUGGCCAAAUGGCCAAUUGGUGUAAAUGUGACACCUUCCGGGCAAGUGCUGGUAUGUGGAGCCCGAUACCCCAACUACUAUUUUAUCAUACAGUUGGACAGUGAGGGAAAAAGGAAGCUGGCCACUCUUGCUACGGAGAAGGAUGGAAUGGUUAACUCAUCGUCAGUCUGCUACAACAGACACACCGCCUGUAUAAUUGUCGGACUUUUUAGAAACAAUAGUAUCCUGGUGUUCAAAGUACAAUAGUGUUAUUUAACAAGCAUCUUGUUUUAUUAUUCAGAUUAUUCAAAUUGGCCAUGAGAAUAUGCUGUUCUACAAUUAGAGCAUUGUGAUAUGAUACCAUAACAAUGAUAGUAUUAAUAAAGAGUAUAUGUGAACAAUAUAAGUGCUAUGCAUGUAUUAAGUUGUUAAAUCUAUGAAAAUUCUUUGUGUAUUUCUUUUUCACUUAACACGUGAAAAUUAUUUUAGUUCAGAGAAUAAUUUAUGUUAUUUACCUGACAUCAAAAUCGCACUCGAUUUAUGUAUAUUGGCUUUCAUGGUUUUAACAUACAUUACAAACGUAUAGAAGAUUACUUGAAAUUUGUUUAAUCCUUGGUUUUGAAAUAUGAUGAAAAUUGUUGUUUCCUGCUUUGAAAACACCUUUCUUUAAAAAUUGUAAUGACCUUUUCUCAGGUUUGAAUCAAAAUUAAUACCCAAUGAAAUGUUCCAAUAUUCUCUUCCAGUUCAAUUAAAUGAAUAAAUGUUAAUUCAGCAUCGGUUAAUAUGAAAAUUAUAGCGAUGCAGCAUUUUGCCAUUUUGUUAACCCGAGUUUACAGUGCGAAGCUGUUCGAACAAGACUUUACACUAUCAAGACAUUUUGUGUGUGCCCCUUUAUAUUUUCCAGAGUGUUUAUUUUUGCAAAUGGUGUUCUUAUAUAAAACAAUUAGAAUUUUAUCAUAUACCCUGUUUCCUAUUUAAUACAACCAUAAAAUAUUAUUUUAAAUUACACAUGUGUAAGACAACAUUUUAAACGUUUUCAUUGGCUUAGUUUUCGUUUAUUGACCAAUCACAUUUUGUUAUUUUGCUGAAAUGACGUUGCAACGUCAAAUGACCUCACGAGAUGUAAUCAACAUUCGGGAUUUAUCAUUAUGUUUGCGUAAAUAUGUAUUUAAUUCGAUCAUUUAAAAGCAUGUGAUCAAAAAAGAUCCGACACUCGUUGUCAUAUUAAACCAUAUUUUAUUAAACUCGUCCAGGAAAUUUGUCAAAGGCUCGCUUACUAACAAAAUUCCUGAACUCGUUUAAUAAAAUAUGGUAUAAUAUGACAACUUGUGCCUGAUCACAUAUAUAUAUAUUGCAUUCUGUGAAAUUGUAUAUGUUAUAACAUUUAGUUCUUCCUCACUCUUCCCUACCCUUAUAUGUAUGCACUUACAUUAUAAAAAUUCAUAUAAUUGUUUUUUUUUAUAUUUGAUAUUCUAACAUUUUUAAGUAAUGAGUUUCACAUAAGCCAAAAUUACAACAGUGCAUUCAUGUAGAAUUAAGUAGCUGCAAGACAUUUAAGAAAUACCAAUAGUAAGAACCAGUUUAAUUGAUCUUAUUAAAAAUAAUAUGCAAUAAACAUAAAUUGAUUACCAUUAGUCUUUUGGCAUAAAUUCUCCAGUUUUAAAUAGUAAUGAAAUACAAUGCAAUCUAUUUUAAUUAAGUUGGAUAUAUUCCAAGAUAACAAUUACAUGCAUGAACAGGUAAAUUAAAGAUUGGCUCCCUAACAAGUCUAAAACACUGUUCCAGUAAACAUCAAGAAUAAAAUAAAAAAAUACAAAAAAGUAAGUUUCAACAGGACUCGAACCACUGACCCCUGGAGUCAUGGACUAAAAGUCUACCACUAAGACCACUCGGCCAUCCGUGCUCCUACAAUGACUGAUGUUUUUAUAUAAGCAAUCAUCGUAGUUUCACAAAAUAUAACGACAACAACAGAACUCUCCAAAUUAUUGAAUCGUUUCGCGCUGCAACGCUUUAUAAUGUUCAGGUUUUUAAAUCGUCAAAAGAUGCAUAUAAUGGCUAUUUUAGAGCAUGGUAAACGUUCAGUAUUACUGUUUUCUCACAUACAUCAUAACUAAAACGAAAAUUUGCGAAUCCCAAUCAACUUUUUUCACUUUGUCAAUUUACCACAACAUGAAAAGGUCUCUUUUAACCUGAACAUGGAGUGCUGAUGGUGACAAAUCGUAAUCAUGUAGUCAUUAUCUAGGCCGAGUUAAAAUCUGGGUCACAUGUACAAAAAACUCCAUCACUAAGUUAAUUCAUAAAAUAGCCUUGAUACCACUUUAGAGGCCACAUUUUUUACUCAUUCAUGAUGCUACCUGAAAAUAUUGCCAUAACACACCUGUACAAUGGUGUUGUUGCAUUUGUAUAUGAGCCUUGCUCUGGGAAAACGGGGCUUAAUGCAUGUAUGUAAAGUGUCUUUCCAGAUUAGCCAGUCGAGUCAACACAGGUCAAUCAGGGCGACACUUUCUGUCUUAACUGGAUUUUCGCCUGUGUGGAUUGCCAGUUUUUCCAGAACGAUGCUCAGGUGUUUAUGUUGAUAUAUAAUAUUGACACAUAUACAGAGCCAUUGCAAUGGCAGAAAUAGUCAAGUAUACAAAUAUGUAUAUACAUUGUUCAUAUAUUUUCUGUUCACAUGUUUCUUGUUGAAUUUGGCUGUGUUAUUUGACUCUUUUCAUAUCACAAUUUAUAUGCAUUAUAUAAAGUUAUACCAAGCACUAUACAAAGUGGAUGUGAUCAAGUGUGGGGCCUUAUACACCUUAUGUGUGAUCAAGUGUGGGGCCAUAUAAAAAGUAUAUGUGAUCAAGUGGGGGCCUUAUACAAAGUAAGUGUGAUCAUGUGUGGGGCCUUAUACAAAGUAAAUGUGAUCAAGAGGGAGGCCUUACACAAAUUAAGUGUCAUCAAGUGUGGGCCCAUAUGCAAUGUGAGCAUGAUUAAAUAUGUGGCCUUAUUCAAAGUAAGCAUGAUUUCUGUGUGAGGCUUUAUACAUAGUGAGUGUGAUAAAGUGUGGUACCUUAUACAAAUUAAGUGUGAAUAAGUGUGGGGAAUUAUACAAAAUAAGUUAAAUUAAGUGUGGGGCCUUAUACAAAGUAUGUGUGAUUAAGGGUGGCGCCUUUUAAGAAUUAAGUGUGGUUAAGUGUGGAUCCUUAUACGAAGUAAGUGUGAUUAAGAUUGGACUUUUACAAAGUGAGUAUGAAUAAGUGCGGGGCUUAUACAAGGUAAGUGUUUGUAAUUGUCGGGUCUUAUACAAAGUAAUUGUGAUUAUGAAUGGGGCUUAUACAAAAUAAGUGUGAUUAAGAAUUACCCUCGCUUUAAUACAUUGAUAAAUCUUAUUUGUUUAGGCAGAUUUGUUUCAGACUUGUUAACUACACUCUUUAUAUAUUUACUUGUAAGGCUAUUGUGGUAUUUUAUACUAAGUCUUUCAAGAUGCCACUCCUAAAGACGAUUGUGUAUAUAUAAUGCAAAAUUAGUAAUCCAAAUGAUUGUUAGAAAUAUAUUUUUGUUAUUAUGCACCCUUUGCAGAUGCGGGAUCGAAUCACUGUUUACUUUUUAUUUGAUGUUAACAGUCGAAUUGCUUGUAACAUGAAAUUUGGUUAAGAACAAAACAUCUAUAGGUAUAUGGUAAGGUUAGUUUAAUUUCUAAGCCUGAACCUAUUUUUGGGCUUGUUUCCAUUUAUAAAAUGAGGAUAUUUCUUAUCAACAAAUUGUAUCAUAAUCUAAACUUAUUUGCCUACCUAAAGUUCAUUAUAUGCUUCUUUUUUUUGCAUUCUAAAAUGUUUGUCCAUAUUUACCAAAUCUGAUUGUUUAUCUGAUAUAUUUGUUUUCCAAUUGAAGCUAUGAUUUCACAAUAUGUUUGUCUACAGUAAGACUGUGUCUAGAGACAAUCUAAACAAAAACCUGAAUAUCGUAUGUGUAUUUUCUUGGGUUAUUAACACUGUUUCAGCAUACAUAUCUUCAUUUCAUUUUUCUUCUCCAAUGUUUUUUACAUUUAUUUUAAAUUCCUUAAAAUACAUGAAUGUUUAAAUUGCUAGUAAAAUUAAUUUUCUAUUCGUAUUAUUUAUUAAUACAAUUAAACUGUUUCUAAAUUUUUUAUAAACUCUGUUUUUGUAUAGGUAAGCUUUCCGACAAUAU